Molecule: small nucleolar RNA, 210 nt
Organism: Oreochromis aureus
Lineage: Eukaryota; Metazoa; Chordata; Actinopteri; Cichliformes; Cichlidae
Product: ACEA small nucleolar RNA U3
Source: Ensembl
AAGACUAUGCUUUCAGGAAUCAUUUCUAUAGUUUCUGACUUGAGAAACGUGUUUCUAGAGUUUAUGGUCUCGCUAACCAUGAUGAUGAGUUAUGAUAUUCCCUUCUGAGCAUGAAGCUGAUGGAGCUGUGCUGUACAUGUUCUCUGUCAUCGGUGAUUGCUUAUUGCUCUACUGUAGAGCAGUGAGAAAGGGAAUAUGAUCUGAGUGGUU